RNAcentral lists this ribosomal RNA (253 nucleotides) under uncultured bacterium. RNAcentral's name for it is "partial 16S ribosomal RNA". It matches the Rfam family "Bacterial small subunit ribosomal RNA", at positions 524 to 776 of the family's 1533-position model. The record is from RNAcentral.
UACGAAGGGGGCUAGCGUUGUUCGGAAUUACUGGGCGUAAAGGGCGCGUAGGCGGUUGCUCAAGUCAGGCGUGAAGGCCCCGGGCUCAACCUGGGAACAGCGCUUGAGACUGGGCGGCUUGAGUUCGGGAGAGGUGAGUGGAAUUCCCAGUGUAGAGGUGAAAUUCGUAGAUAUUGGGAAGAACACCAGUGGCGAAGGCGGCUCACUGGACCGACACUGACGCUGAGGCGCGAAAGCGUGGGGAGCAAACAGG